CUACGGGCGGCAGCAGUAAGGAAUAUUGCGCAAUGGAGGCAACUCUGACGCAGCCAUGCCGCGUGCAGGAAGAAGGCCUUAUGGGUCGUAAACUGCUUUUAUUUAGGAAUAAACCCCCGAACGCGUUCGGGGCUGAAGGUACUAAACGAAUAAGCACCGGCUAACUCCGUGCCAGCAGCCGCGGUAAUACGGAGGGUGCAAGCGUUAUCCGGAUUUAUUGGGUUUAAAGGGUGCGCAGGCGGGCUAUUAAGUCAGUGGUGAAAUCCCGGGGCUCAACUCCGGAACUGCCAUUGAUACUGAUAGUCUUGAGCUUGGUUGAAGUGGGCGGAAUGUAGCAUGUAGCGGUGAAAUGCAUAGAUAUGCUACAGAACACCAAUCGCGAAGGCAGCUCACUAAGCCAAAACUGACGCUCAUGCACGAAAGCGUGGGGAUCAAACAGGAUUAGAUACCCUGGUAGUC
This 459-nucleotide ribosomal RNA is filed under the name uncultured bacterium. RNAcentral describes it as "partial 16S ribosomal RNA". It matches the Rfam family "Bacterial small subunit ribosomal RNA", at positions 339 to 795 of the family's 1533-position model. The record is from RNAcentral.